RNAcentral lists this ribosomal RNA (460 nucleotides) under uncultured bacterium. RNAcentral describes it as "partial 16S ribosomal RNA". It matches the Rfam family "Bacterial small subunit ribosomal RNA", at positions 338 to 795 of the family's 1533-position model. The record is from RNAcentral.
CCUACGGGUGGCAGCAGUGAGGAAUAUUGGUCAAUGGCCGAGAGGCUGAACCAGCCAAGUCGCGUGAGGGAAGACGGCCCUACGGGUUGUAAACCUCUUUUGUCGGGGAGCAAAGCGAGUCACGUGUGACUCAUUGAGAGUACCCGAAGAAAAAGCAUCGGCUAACUCCGUGCCAGCAGCCGCGGUAAUACGGAGGGUGCGAGCGUUAAUCGGAAUUACUGGGCGUAAAGCGCUCGUAGGCGGUAUGUCAAGUCAAGGGUGAAAUCCCCGCGCUCAACGUGGGAACUGCCUUUGAAACUGGCAAACUGGAGUGUGUGAGAGGAUAGUGGAAUUCCAGGUGUAGGAGUGAAAUCCGUAGAUAUCUGGAGGAACAUCAGUGGCGAAGGCGACUAUCUGGCACAUAACUGACGCUGAGGAGCGAAAGCGUGGGUAGCAAACAGGAUUAGAUACCCCAGUAGUC